ACUUCUUUAGUAUAACUAGUACAAUUGACUUCCAAUCAAUUAGCUUCAGGUCAAUCUGAAAAGAAGUA
This 68-nucleotide transfer RNA is filed under the name Vulpes zerda (fennec fox). Its description in RNAcentral is "tRNA-Gly". It matches the Rfam family "tRNA". From Rfam's summary of the family: Transfer RNA (tRNA) molecules are approximately 80 nucleotides in length. Their secondary structure includes four short double-helical elements and three loops (D, anti-codon, and T loops). Further hydrogen bonds mediate the characteristic L-shaped molecular structure. tRNAs have two regions of fundamental functional importance: the anti-codon, which is responsible for specific mRNA codon recognition, and the 3' end, to which the tRNAs corresponding amino acid is attached (by aminoacyl-tRNA synthetases). tRNAs cope with the degeneracy of the genetic code in two manners: having more than one tRNA (with a specific anti-codon) for a particular amino acid; and 'wobble' base-pairing, i.e. permitting non-standard base-pairing at the 3rd anti-codon position. Lineage: Eukaryota; Metazoa; Chordata; Mammalia; Carnivora; Canidae. The record is from RNAcentral.